Molecule: long non-coding RNA, 229 nt
Filed under: Elaeis guineensis (African oil palm)
Lineage: Eukaryota; Viridiplantae; Streptophyta; Magnoliopsida; Arecales; Arecaceae
Description: long non-coding RNA (EGUI_LNC062264)
Source: RNAcentral
GACACAUAAUAUGCACCCUUUUCUGAUAGUCUACACACAAAAAAAAAAGGGGGCACCCAAGAGUUGGGCACUCCUUGUCUUGUCAUGUUUGGAUAAUCCUUGACUAGAUAUUUGACCUAGAUAAGGACUCUAUCAUAUCUCUCUAUUUAAAAUAAAUUUCUUUAUAAAAUUUUCAUGAAAACUAGAAAAAAGAGAGACCCUUGGGGUAUGCAAAAAUCAAGGAGAAAGA